Long non-coding RNA from Lemur catta (Ring-tailed lemur), 383 nucleotides. RefSeq lists it as uncharacterized. The transcript is spliced from 3 exons. The record is from RefSeq and is a predicted model, not a curated record. NCBI's taxonomy places the organism in Eukaryota, Metazoa, Chordata, Mammalia, Primates, Lemuridae.
CUGGGAUGAGGGUCCUUUGAGAUUUCUUCUUGGCUGUGCUUCAGGCUCCAUAACAGCAAUGGAUCCACACUUCUUCAUACAGGGAGGGCAGGUGGCCGUGAGCCAAUGUGCCUGUGCAGGAGUGGUGUUUUCAGCAUGCAUGACACAAUCAGGAGCCAAUCGGGACAGCAUGCCCCAAAUAAGGGUCCCUGCACCAGGAGGAUCGUGUGUGUGUGCACACGUGUGUGUGCAUGUCCACGUGCACACGAGUUGCUCACCCAGCUGCUACCUGAAAAAUCGCAUGGGCAAGUUGUAGAAAUUGAACCUGGGGAAUGUUGUGAAGGCAGCUGAGAGAUGUCCACAAAGGCUGUCAAGGGCAGAUGAACCUACUCAGUGUGAAGAUG